UAAGCAAUUAUACCGCGAAACUGCGAAUGGCUCAUUAUAUAAGUUAUCGUUUAUUUGAUAGUACCUUACUACUUGGAUAACCGUGGUAAUUCUAGAGCUAAUACAUGCUAAAAAUCCCGACUUCGGAAGGGAUGUAUUUAUUAGAUUAAAAACCAAUGCCCUUCGGGGCUCACUGGUGAUUCAUGAUAACUCCUCGAAUCGCAUGGCCUUGUGCCGGCGAUGGUUCAUUCAAAUUUCUUCCCUAUCAACUUUCGAUGUUUGGGUAUUGGCCAAACAUGGUUGCAACGGGUAACGGAGGGUUAGGGCUCGACCCCGGAGAAGGAGCCUGAGAAACGGCUACUACAUCCAAGGAAGGCAGCAGGCGCGCAAAUUACCCAAUCCCGACACGGGGAGGUAGUGACAAUAAAUACUGAUACAGGGCUCUUUUGGGUCUUGUAAUUGGAAUGAGUACAAUUUAAAUCCCUUAACGAGGAACAAUUGGAGGGCAAGUCUGGGGCAGA
RNAcentral lists this ribosomal RNA (500 nucleotides) under Fusarium sp. N53. RNAcentral's name for it is "SSU rRNA". It matches the Rfam family "Eukaryotic small subunit ribosomal RNA", at positions 66 to 574 of the family's 1831-position model. The record is from RNAcentral. Lineage: Eukaryota; Fungi; Ascomycota; Sordariomycetes; Hypocreales; Nectriaceae.